RNAcentral lists this non-coding RNA (111 nucleotides) under Planococcus rifietoensis. RNAcentral describes it as "SAM-I sequence". It matches the Rfam family "SAM riboswitch aptamer (S box leader)". Rfam says of the family: The SAM riboswitch is found upstream of a number of genes which code for proteins involved in methionine or cysteine biosynthesis in Gram-positive bacteria. The SAM riboswitch acts at the level of transcription termination control. The record is from Rfam by way of RNAcentral. Lineage: Bacteria; Bacillati; Bacillota; Bacilli; Caryophanales; Caryophanaceae.
CUCUUAUUCCGAGCUGGUGGAGGGUGCAGGCCCAAUGAAACCCGGCAACCUGCUGCAAUUGCAGCGAUGGUGCCCAACCUGAAGCAAGGCGAAUGCCUUGGACGAUAAGAG